RNAcentral lists this ribosomal RNA (253 nucleotides) under uncultured bacterium. Its description in RNAcentral is "partial 16S ribosomal RNA". It matches the Rfam family "Bacterial small subunit ribosomal RNA", at positions 524 to 776 of the family's 1533-position model. The record is from RNAcentral.
UACGUAGGGGGCUAGCGUUGUCCGGAAUCAUUGGGCGUAAAGCGCGUGUAGGCGGUCCGGUAAGUCCGCUGUGAAAGUCGGGGGCUCAACCCUCGGAUGCCGGUGGAUACUGUCGGGCUUGAGUACGGAAGAGGCGAGUGGAAUUCCUGGUGUAGCGGUGAAAUGCGCAGAUAUCGGGAGGAACACCGGUGGCGAAGGCGGCCACCUGGACGGUAACUGACGCUGAGACGCGAAAGCGUGGGGAGCAAACAGG